RNAcentral lists this transfer RNA (74 nucleotides) under Caudoviricetes sp. Its description in RNAcentral is "tRNA-Gln". It matches the Rfam family "tRNA". Rfam says of the family: Transfer RNA (tRNA) molecules are approximately 80 nucleotides in length. The record is from RNAcentral. Lineage: Duplodnaviria; Heunggongvirae; Uroviricota; Caudoviricetes.
UGCGUCGUAGCCAAGCGGUUAAGGCAGGGUCCUUUGAAGUCCCGAUUGCGAAAGUUCGAUUCUUUCCGGCGCAA